GACUUGUUAGCUCAGCUGGCAGAGCAACUGACUCUUAAUCAGUGGGUCCAGGGUUCGAUUCCCUGACGAGUCACCA
RNAcentral lists this transfer RNA (76 nucleotides) under Erysipelotrichaceae bacterium. Its description in RNAcentral is "tRNA-Lys". It matches the Rfam family "tRNA". From Rfam's summary of the family: Transfer RNA (tRNA) molecules are approximately 80 nucleotides in length. Their secondary structure includes four short double-helical elements and three loops (D, anti-codon, and T loops). Lineage: Bacteria; Bacillati; Bacillota; Erysipelotrichia; Erysipelotrichales; Erysipelotrichaceae. The record is from RNAcentral.